This 400-nucleotide ribosomal RNA is filed under the name uncultured bacterium. RNAcentral's name for it is "bacterial SSU rRNA". It matches the Rfam family "Bacterial small subunit ribosomal RNA", at positions 355 to 772 of the family's 1533-position model. The record is from RNAcentral.
UAACGAAUCUUCCGCAAUGGGCGCAAGCCUGACGGAGCAAUGCCGCGUGUAGGAUGAAGCGUCUCUGACGUGUAAACUACUGUCAGGGGUCAGAACCAAUGAUUGACCCCAGAGGAAGUGGCGACUAACUCUGUGCCAGCAGUCGCGGUAAUACAGAGGCCACAAGCGUUAGUCGGAAUCACUGGGCUUAAAGGGUGCGUAGGCGGGCCUGCAAGCGUCCUGUGAAAUACCUCGGCUCAACCGAGGAACAGCAGGGCGAACUGCGGGUCUUGAGGCAGGUAAGGGCCGGAAGAACAGUCGGUGGAGCGGUGAAAUGCGUAGAGAUCGACUGGAAUGCCGAUGGGGAAGCCGUCCGGCUGGGCCUGUCCUGACGCUGAGGCACGAAAGCGUGGGGAGCAAA